CUGCAUAUUGGUUUGUUUAUCUUGUUUUUCCAUAAUAUAUAGGUGAAUUGGUGAUGUAAAUGCUCUCUGAAAAGUAUGACAUUCCUUCCACAGUUUCCCCAUUUCCCAGUUGCAACGUUGACACAAAUUCCCGAUCAAUAGUGCCAGCUCCUACUGUUGUAAUCCAUGGUGCUCCAUUGACUAUUGAGUAAGCAUCUGGUCCAAAAUUUCCAGCAACACAGAUGACGGAAAUCCCCCUCUGUCGCUGAAAGUGCUGCAAUGGCUAUGAAAUCCUUGAAAUAAGGUGCCUGUCCAAGGCCCAAAGACAAGGACAAGAUAUCUAGCCCCGUCCACAAUUGAUUGGUCCAUGGCAACCAGUAAGUCGCUCGCAACAAUGUUGCGAAGUGUGUCUGCCCAGCCAACCUUGUACAUGGCAAUACGUGCUCUAGGUGCCACCCCUUUGGUUGUCCCACUGGCGUAACCAAAAUGACUCGCACCGUGUACAUAAUUACCUGCAGCUAUAGAUGAUGUGUGAGUUCCAUGUCCAGAGAAAUCUCGUGCUGAUUCGAAGUCACGGUCCUUGGAGAUUCUUCCACCUGCAGCCACAAGUCCUUUGCUAAAAGAUCGAGCUCCAAUCAACUUCCUGUUGCAGAGAGAAUGGGUAAAAGUUGUACCAUUCUCACACGUCCCUUUCCAUCUCGCUGGAACUGGUGACAUCCCUUGUCCCUAAAGCUCUCACUUUCUGGCCAUAUUCCUGUGUCGACCCUAGGAUCACGUUUUUGCCGUAAGAUACAGUAGGCCAUAUGCUAGCGGUAUGACUUAGGCGAAGAAACUUAGGCGAGUGGGUUGUGAAGAGCUUCCCGAAUGACUCUUCAUAUGUCGCCAAAUUAGAAGGGAGCUUUUCCAGCGGAGAUAGUGAGAUAGCGUGAGCCGUGCUCUAAACCCAUGCAUGGCAUGGCUGUAUGAGUAGACCAACUUCUCUUUGUCAUCCGAGCGAUAUGGUGGCAACGACUGUAGGAUGUUUUGGUUCUAUAACUCUUCAGUUGUAAAAAUUUCUGGUUUGUGUCCAUGUGUAUGAUGUAAGUUUGGUAUUCUUCAGGUUUGGACGACACUUUGUUGAGACCAGGUAACAAGAAAAACACUAGGUAGAAAAUUAUUGUGCGGCGUCAAAAGUUUCAUAUCUCGUUGAAAUGGAUUUGUUUAGCCAUGGUAGCUAUAGCAAGAAAUGAAGUGGGAAUGUGGGAUAGUUUUUUCAACUUGCAAAUUUAUCCUACUUAUAUAGUGGAGUCAGGAGUGUGAGCACAUUGGAAUCGAAAAUAUGUGUAUAUAUAAAUACAUAUUUGUGGAGACCCUUUAGGAUUUAUGCUAAUGAUUUUGACUGCUAACAAAUUUUUAUUUGAUUUUCCUCUCAAUAAGUUUGUCAUUUAAUGACCUUAAAUAGGAAAUCGAUCCUAAAUUUGGUAUUGUUCUGUGUUCUACGCAUUCUGACCAUGCUAAAUUUAUUUUGCUACAACAUACAAGUCUAGAGACUUUCCCUUUCCCUUUUUUGAUAUUAUAGUAAUGGUUUCCACUUUCCCUUUUUGAUAUCAUAUCAAUAACAUCAUAAUGUUUAUUUUAUAAUAUAUUUUAGAUUUAUAAUAUCGAUUUCCCUUCAUGCUUCUGCAGAUCAACACAAAACCUGCACAAGAAAUUGUCAAGGCAAAAGAGGUUGCUGGAAAACCUGCACAAAACCUGCAUGGAGGGAAUGUAUGAGAAUAUGAUGAGUCAGCAUCUGCUUCUAAAGUUGCCAAUGUGUCCGUCAGUAAUAUUCCGACAUAUGCCCUGCCAAUUUCAUCGAUCUGCUGGUCAAUAUCAAGAGUAGUGCUAGUAUCACAUAGGACCACCUUUCCAGCAACCUCUUUUGGAUCUAGCGCUGAACCUCUACAUAUUAAUUUGUUUACAUUGCUUUUCCCAUAAUAUAGAGGUGAAUUGGUGAUGUAAAUGCUCUCUGAAAAGUAUGAUAUUCCUUCCACAGUUUCCCCAUUUCCCAAUUACAGCGUUGCCAUAAAUUCCCGAUCAAUAGUGCCAGCUCCUACUGUUGUAAUCCAUGGUGCUCGAUUGACUAUUGGGAAGCAUCUGGUCCAAAAAUUCCAGCAGCACAGAUGACGAAAAUCCCCAUCUCUGUCGCUGAAAGUGCUGCAAUGGGUAUGACAUCCUUGAAAUAAGGUGCCGGUCCAAGUCCCAAAGACAAGGACAAGAUAUCUACCCCGUCCACAAUUGAUUGUUCCAUGGCAGAAAGUAAGUCGCUCGCAGCAAUGUUGCGAAGUGCGUCUGCCCAGCCAACCUUGUACAUAGCAAUACGUGCUUUUGGUGCCACCCCAUUGGCUGUCCCACUGGCGUAACCAAAAUGACUCGCACUGUGUACAUAAUUACCUCCAACUGUAGAUGAUGUAUGAGUUCCAUGGCCAGAGAAAUCUCGUGCUGAUUCGAAGUCACGAUCCUUGGAGAUUCUUCCACCUGCAACCACAAGUCCUUUGCUAAAAGAUCGAGCUCCAAUCAGCUUCAUGUUGCAGAUAGAAUGGGUAAAAGUUGUACCAUUCUUACACGUCCCUUUCCAUCUCGCUGGAACAAGUGACAUCCCCUUGUCCCUAAAGCUCUCAUUUUUUGGCCAUAUUCUUUUGUCGACUAACCCUAUGAUCACGUUUUUGCCGUAAGAUGCAGUAGGCCAAAUGCCAACGGUAUGACUUAGGCCAAGAAACUUAGGCGACGAGUGGAUUGUGUAGAGCUUCCCGAAGGACUCUUCAUAUGUCGCCAAAUAAGAAGGGAGCUUCUCCAGCUGAGAUAGUUGAGAUGGCGUGAGCCGUGCACUAAACCCAUGCAUGGCAUGGCUGUAUGAGUAGAGUAACUUCUUUUUGUCAUCGGAGCGAUAUGGCGGCAACGACUGUAGGAUGAUUUGGUGCCAUAACUCUUCUGUUAUAAAACUUUCUGGUUUGUGGGAAUGGUCAAUAUGUAUGAUGUAAGUUUGGUAUUCUUCAGGUUUGGACGACACUUUGUUGAGCCCAGGUAACAAGAACAACACUAGGUAGAAAAUUAUUGUGUGGCGUAAAGAGUUUCUUAUCUCGUUGAAAUGGAUUUGUUUAGCCAUGGUAGCUAUAGCAAUGAAAUGAAGUGGGAAUGUAGGAUAGUUUUUUCAACUUGCAGAUUUAUCCUACUUAUAUAGUGGAUUCAGGAGUGUGAGCACAUUGGAAUCCAAAAUAUGUGUAUAUAUAAAUACAUAUUUGUGGAGACCCUUUAGGAUUUAUGCUAAUGAUUUUGACUGCUAACAUAUUUUUAUUUGAUUUUCCUCUCAAUAAGUUUGUCAUUUAAUGACCUUAAAUAUGAAAUCGAUCCUAAAUUUGGUAUUGUUCUGUGUUCUACGUAUUCUGACCAUGCUAAAUUUAUUUUGCUACAGCAUACAAGUCUAGAGACUUUCCCUUUCCCUUUUUUGAUAUUAUAGUAAAGGUUUCCACUUUCCCUUUUUGAUAUCAUAUCAAUAACAUCAUAAUGUUUAUUUUAUAAUAUAUUUUAGAUUUAUAAUAUCGAGUUCCCUCCAUGCUUCUGCAGAUCAGCACAAAACCUGCACAAGAAAUUGUCAAGGAUAAAGAGGUUGCUGGAAAACCAGCACAAAACCUGCAUGGAGGGAAUGUAUAAGAAUAUGAUGAGUCAGUAUCUGCUUCUAAAGUUGCCAAUGUGUCCGUCAGUAAUAUUCCGGCACAUGCACGGCAAUUUCAUUGAUCUGCUGGUCAAUAUCAAGGGUAGUGCUAGUAACACAUAGGACCACCUUUCCAGCAACCUCUUUUUGAUCCAGCGCUGAACUUCUGCAUAUUGAUUUGUUUACCUUGCUUUUACCAUAAUAUAGAGGUGAAUUGGUGAUGUAAAUGCUCUCUAGAAAGUAUGAUAUUCCUUCCACAGUUUCCCCAUUUCCCAGUUGCAGCGUUGACACAAAUUCCCGAUCAAUAGUGCCAGCUCCUACUGUUGUAAUCCAUGGUGCUCCAUUGACUAUUGAGUAAGCAUCUGGUCCAAAAUUUCAAGCAGCACAGAUGACGGAAAUCCCCCUCUCUGUCGCUGAAAGUGCUGCAAUGGCUAGGACAUCCUUGAAAUAAGGUGUCGGGCUAAGGCCCAAAGACAAGGACAAGAUAUCUACCCCGUCCACAAUUGAUUAGUUCAUGGCAGCCAGUAAGUCGCUCGCAGCAAUGUUGCGAAAUGUGUCUGCCCAGCCAACCUUGUACAUGGCAAUACGUGCUCUUGGUGCCACCACUUUGGCUGCCCCACUGGUGUAACCAUAAUGACUCGCACCGUGUACAUAAUUACCUGCAACUGUAGAUGAUGUGUGAGUUCCAUGUCCAGAGAAAUCUCAUGCUGAUUCGAAGUCAGGCCCUUGAAGAUUCUUCCACCUGCAUCCACAAGUACUUUGCUAAAAGAUCGAACUCCAAUCAGCUUCCUGUUGUAGAGAGAAUGGGUAAAAGUUGUACCAUUCUUACUCGUCCCUUUUCAUCUAACUGGAACCGGUGACAUCCCCUUGUCCUUAAAGCUCUCACUUUCAGGCCAUAUUUUUGUGUCAACCCUAUGAUCACGUUUUUGCCGUAAAAUAUAGUAGGUCAUAUGCCAGCGGUAUGACUUAGGCCAAGAAACUUAGGCGAGUGGGUUGCGAAGAGCUUCCCGAAGGACUCUUAAUAUGUCGCUAAAUGAGAAGGGAGCUUCUUCUGCUGAGAUAGUUUAGACGGCGUGAGUUGUGCACUAAACCCAUGCAUGGCAUGGCUGUAUGAGUAGAACAACUUCUCUUUGUCAUCAGAGCGAUAUGGUGGCAACGACUGUAGGAUGUUUUGGUGCCAUAACUCUUCAGUUGAAAAAAUUUCUGGUAUGUGGGAAUGGUCCAUGUGUAUGAUGUAAGUUUGGUAUUCUUCAGGUUUGGACGACACUUUGUUGAGCCUAGGUAACAAGAACAACACUAGGUAGAAAAUUAUUGUGCGGCGUAAAAAUUUCCUAUCAUGUUGAAAUGGAUUUGUUUAGCCAUGGUAGCUAUAACAAUGAAAUGAAAUGAAAUGAAAUUUCCUAUCUCGUUGAAAUCCCCCUCUCUGUCGCGAAAAGUGCUGCAAUGACUAUGACAUCCUUGAAAUAAGGUGCCUGUCCAAGGCCCAAAAACAAGGACAAGAUAUAUACCCCGUCCACAAUUGAUUGGUCCAUGGCAGCCAGUAAGUCGCUCGCAGCAAUGUUGCGAAGUGUGUCUGCCCAGCCAACCUUGUACAUGGCAACACGUGUUCUUGGUGCCACCCCUUUGAUUGUCGCACUGACGUAACCAAAAUGACUCGCACCGUGUACAUAAUUACCUACAGCUAUAGAUAAUGUGUGAGUUCCAUGUCCAGAGAAAUCUCGUGCUGAUUCGAAGUCACGGUUCUUGGAGAUUCUUCCACCUGCAGCCACAAGUCCGUUGCUAAAAGAUCGAGCUCAAAUCAGCUUCAUGUUGCAAAGAGAAUGGGUAAAAGCUGUACCAUUCUCACAUGUCCCUUUCCAUCUCGCUGGAACCAGUGACAUCCCCUUGUCCCUAAAGCUAUCACUUUCUGGCCAUAUUCUUGUGUCGACUAACCCUAUGAUCACGUUUUUGCUGUAAGAUGCAGUAGGCCAAAUGCCAACGGUAUGACUUAGGCCAACAGACUUAGGCGACGAGUGGGUUGUGAAGUGCUUCCCGAAGGACUCUUCAUAUGUCUCCAAAUGAGAAGGGAGCUUCUCCAGCUGAGAUAGUUGAGACGGCGUGAGCCGUGCUCUAAACCCAUGCAUGGCAUUGGCUGUAUGAGUAGACCAACUUCUCUUUGUCAUCGGAGCGAUAUGGUGGCAACGACUGUAGGAUGUUUUGAUGCCAUAACUCUUCAGUUUUAAAAUUUUCUGGUGUGUGUCCAUGUGUAUGAUGUAAGUUUGGUAUUCUUCAGGUUUGGACGACACUUUGUUGAGCCCAGGUAACAAGAACAACAUUAGGUAGAAAAUUAUUGUGCGGCGUCAAAAGUUUCCUAUCUCGUUGAAAUGGAUUUGUUUAGCCAUGGUAGCUAUAGCAAUGAAAUGAAGUGGGAAUGUGGGAUAGUUUUUUCAACUUGCAAAUUUAUCUUACUUAUAUAGUGGAGUCAGAAGUGUGAGCACAUUGGAAUCCAAAAUAUGUGUAUAUAUAAAUACAUAUUUGUGGGGACCCUUUAGGAUUUAUGCUAAUGAUUUUGACUGCUAACAUAUUUUUAUUUGAUUUUCCUCUCAAUAAGUUUAUCAUUUAAUGACUUUAAAUAUGAAAUCGAUCCUAAAUUUGGUAAUGUUCUGUGUUCUACGCAUUCUGACCAUGCUAAAUUUAUUUUGCUACAGCAUACAAGUCUAGAGACUUUCCCUUUCCCUUUUUGAUAUUAUAGUAAUGGUUUCCACUUUCCCUUUUUGAUAUCAUAUCAAUAACAUCAUAAUGUUUAUUUUAUAAUAUAUUUUAGAUUUAUAAUAUCGAGUUCCCUCCAUGCUUCUGCAGAUCAGCACAAAACCUGCCCAAGAAAUUGUCAAGGCAAAAGAGGUUGCUGGAAAACCUGCACAGAACCUACAUGGAGGGAACGUAUGAGAAUAUGAUGAGUCAGCAUCUGCUUCUAAAGUUGUCAAUGUGUGUGUCAGUAAUAUUCCGGCAUAUGCCCUGACAAUUUCAUCGAUCUGCUGGUCAAUAUCAAGAGUAGUGCUAGUAUCACAUAGGACCACCUUUCCAGCAACCUCUUUUGGAUCUAGCGCUAAACCUCUACAUAUUGAUUUGUUUACAUUGCUUUUCCCAUAAUAUAGAGGUGAAUUGGUCAUGUAAAUGCUCUCUAAAAAGUAUGAUAUUCCUUCCAAAGUUUCCCCAUUUCACAGUUGCAGCGUUGCCACAAAUUCCCGAUCAAUAGUGUCAGCUCCUACUGUUGUAAUCCAUGGUGCUCCAUUGACUAUUGAGAAGCAUCUGGUCCAAAAUUUCCAACAGCACAGAUGACGGAAAUCCCUCUCUCUUUGUCGCUGAAAGUGCUGCAAUGGCUAUGACAUCCUUGAAAUAAGGUGUCGGCCCAAGGCCCAAAGACAAGGACAAGAUAUCUACCCCGUCCACAAUUGAUUGGUCCAUGGCAGCAAGUAAGUCGCUCGCAGCAAUUUUGCGAAGUGCGUCUGCCCAGCCAACCUUGUACAUGGCAAUACGUGCUCUUGGUACCACCCCUUUGGUUGUCCCACUGCCGUAACCAAAAUGACUUGCACCGUGUACAUAAUUACCUCCAGCUGUAGAUAAUGUGUGAGUUCCAUGUCCAGAGAAAUCUCGUGCUGAUUCGAAGUCACGGUCCUUGGAGAUUCUUCCACCUGCAACCACAAGUCCUUUGCCAAAAGAUCGAGCUCCACUCAGCUUCAUGUUGCAGAUAGAAUGGGUAAAAGUUGUACCAUUCUCACACGUCCCUUUCCAUCUCGCUGGAACUAGUGACAUCCCCUUGUCCCUAAAGCUCUCACUUUCUGGCCAUAUUCUUGUGUCGACUUACCCUAUGAUCACGUUUUUGCCGUAAGAUGCAGUAGGCCAAAUGCCAAUGGUAUGACUUGGGCCAAGAAACCUAGGCGACGAGUGAGUUGUGAAGAGCUUCCCGAAGGACUCUUCAUAUGUCGCUAAAUGAGAAGGGAGCUUCUCCAGCUGAGAUAGUUGAGAUGGCGUGAGCCGUGUACUAAACACAUGCAUGACAUGGCUGUAUGAGUAGAGUAACUUCUCUUCGGUAUUCUUCAGGUUUGGACGACACUUUGUUGAGCCCAGGUAACAAGAACAACACUAAGUAGAAAAGUAUUGUGUGGCAUAAAGAGUUUCCUAUCUCAUUGAAAUGGAUUUGUUUAGCCAUGGUAGCUAUAGCAAUGAAAUGAAGUGGGAAUGUAGGAUAGUUUUUUCAACUUGCAGAUUUAUCCUACAUAUAGUGGAGUCAAGAGUGUGAGCACAUUGGAAUCCAAUAUAUGUGUAUAUAUAUAUAUAUAUAUAUAUAUAUAUAUAUAUAUAUAUAUAUAUAUAUUUGUGGAGACCCUUUAGGAUUUAUGCUCAUGAUUUUGAAUUCUAACAGAUUUUUAUUUGAUUUUCCUCUCAAUAAGUUUGUCAUUUAAUGACCUUAAAUAUGAAACCGAUCCUAAAUUUGGUAUUUUUCUGUGUUCUACGUAUUCUGACCAUGCUAAAUUUAUUUUGCUACAGCAUACAAGUCUAGAGACUUUCCCUUUCCGUUUUUGAUAUUAUAGUGGCUAAUGGUUUCCACUUACCCUUUUUGAUAUCAUAUCAAUAACAUCAUAAUGUUUAUUUUAUAAUAUAUUUUAGAUUUAUAAUAUCGAGUUUAAUCUUUUAUAUUCAAUUUGACAUACUUUUAAAUUUAAAAUUAAUAUGAUAUGAUAUUAUUACAUUUUAGUUAAUACUACUAUGACUAUUAAUAAAAACUUAUCUAAAAAAUAAUACUCUUGAAUACCAAACUUAUAUUGAAUUAAUUUUGAUUUUUUUAAAAGCUAAUUCUAUAUAUUAUAAAUUUAAAUUAAUAUAAAUUAAUUUAAUUUUAGGCAUUACAAUUAUGUAAAGACCAAUAGAGUCAUGGGAGUUGUAGGACAUCAAUUUUUUGUCUUUUACAAUUUUUUCUGGUUACUUGGUGGUGGUAAAAGAGUUGUAAACUAUUUAAAACUUACUAUUACUAUUUAGUUAUAUAAAAUUAAAUAAAUUACAUCAAUUUUGAGUUUUUAAAGGCCAUAUUGACUGUUAAAAUUUUAACUUGACUUUAUAUUUGGCACAAAUUAAGGGAGUAUAAAGUAGGCCUCCACAUGAAAGUGAAUUUCAUUAACAUACUUCUUCACACCAGGAAAUAGGAAUGAAAGUCAUAUAUAUAUAUAUAUAUAUAUAUAUAGGGUAUCCAUCCACAGUAACCGGUUGUUGGGGAGCAACCCAUUUUGGCCCAGCCGCUACAACCUGUAGCGGCUUGUGCUGUGGAUGGAAUAUAUAUAUAUAUAUAUAUAUAUAUAUAUAUAUAUAUAUAUAUCCAGUGAUAUUUUAUAUUUAUGUAUAUAUGUAUAUAUCCAGUGAUAUUUAUUACUAUUUGUGGGGACCCUUUAGGAUUUAUGCUCAUGAUUUUGACUGCUAACAAAUUUUUAUAUGAUUUUCCUGUCAAUAAGUUUGACAUUUAUCUGCAUAAUUCUACAACUAACAUCCACUUUAAUGACCUUAAUUAUGAAAUCGAAUUAAAUAAAUAGGAAUGGGUACAUCAAAAGUAGUACAUUAGGAGGCAUUAUGGCAUAUCUAAAUUUGGUAUUUAAUUUGUGUUUUAAGUAUCCUGACCAUGCUAAAUUUAUUUUGCUACAGAAUACAAGUCUGCAACAAGUCUACAUAUUUUAAUGGUAAGCAUAUAUAUCCCAAAUUAAUUAGAAUACUAUUAACAGGUUUUUUUCUUAAAUAAAGAGGAACACUAUUUUCACAUGUAAUUUUGAUAUUUCCACAUGGUUUUCUCUUACGAGAGAGUAGGGUGGGUCCCACUUUUAUGUGAGAGGAAAUGUAAAAAUAUCAUAAUUACAUGUGAAAAUAUCAUUUCCCCUAUAAAUUUGUAUAUUUUUGUGGACAUUUUUUUCUUUGUAGUACAAAAUUUUCUUGAUUGGAAUAAUUUUGGUGUUGGUGGGCACUGGGCAGGGCCAUCACUUACUAAAUAGGCUUACAAUUGAUAUCUUUUUGCAGGGUUAUUUUUAUCAGCAUAUACUAUAUUUGGAUCAAUUAAUUAGGUAUAUGUCACAGUGAUAUUUUUCUCAGUAUACUAUUUUUGCAUCAAUUAAUUAGGUACCUAUCUUGGUAAACAUAUUACAAAUAUGGGCAUCAUGUUAGAGACAAUAGAAAUGUAAAAUAAUAAUAAAAUAAAAGUAUUAAAUUUUUUAAAUAUAUAUACAAGUUUGUAAUACAAAUUUCACAUCAGGAGGCCAACAUCGGAGCAACUAAAUAACCAAGGUCCCCAACAGUUUUAAAGUUCAUUUACAUUAAAAAUAAUUUAAAAAUAUUAAAUAUAAUAAAAAGAUUCAUCAUAAACUAAGUCUAUUUAAAUAAAUGUGUUAGCAAUAUGGUAUAAUAACAUCGGCUUGGCUUAUAGCACCAACUUUGUUUAAUUUUAUAUGUUAAAAGUAUUGAAGACCUGAAAUUUAUAUAUUAAAUAGGUUUAACAAACUCAACCCGAACCUCAACCCGAACCUCGAGCCUUAUUUUUGAUACAUGGGCAUCAAAUGCUAGGCCCAAUCUGAACCUAAGAAAUUUUAUAUGGGUUCACCACUAAUGCCCACAACCAGCCCAAAUUGCACCCUUGGUUGAGCACGACGACCCAGCAAGUCAAACAGUUAUCACAUAACACAUAAUUCACAUUUCAACAUACCUUACAUUAUAUACAUGCUUACAUUUUAUACAUGCUUUAUAAUAUUCAUGCUUUGUAUUUCUCAAUUUAAAUAGUUCACAUUGAACAAUCAACUUAAAUCAUCAACUGAAUAUUAACAAUUAUUAUUGCACAGAAUGCACAAAAAAACAUAUUCACAUGAAUAUCACAUAAUACUAAUAAUUCGCAUGUAACACAUAACAGCAAGAUCUGAAAAACUUACAUUGGUUUGCGUUUAUAACUAUACGUUCAUCAAUAGUUUAUUGCGUAACUUAUUUCAUUGUUUAGCAACAUUCGUUCAUUUUUACGUACUCGAAGCGAUAAUAUCUCAUAUUGCACCUAUAUAACACACAGAAUACAUUCACAAUGUUUCAAUCUUAUUAGCACAUUGUUUACAAAAAAAAAAUUCAAGGUUUUCUUAAUAAGGCCAUCAUUUUUUUUAGGCCAUCCAUCACGGGGAUUUUUUUUAGGCCAUCCAUCACGGGGAUUUUCACACUGCACUCCCAUUGAUUUUUCUUAAAUGUCCUCUAUUUUUUUUGACACUUUUUCUUUGCCUUGUCCGACAAAGAAGAGACUCGGGAGAGUUAUCAAACAUAUUCUCAUUCGCAAUUAUCUAUUUCUCUGUGCUUGCAUCAAUUAAUAUGUUUAUGGAUAUUUAUUCAACAGAUAUUGCUUCUUCUUUUUUUGAAACAUUUUAUAUUUUUUUAGCUAUUAUGGAUGGUCAGUACCAAAACUUAAAAUUUCAUUACUCAUUAAAAGCUUAGUUAUGCUAAACUCCAUUGCAAGGAACUGUCAUCUAUUAUGGUGCUGUUAGCAUAAGGCUAGAACAAGCCGGCCAAAUAUCCAUAUUUCAUCAUGAUUACUAGUAUUAAGUAAAGACUCUGAAAUAAUCCGGGUCAAAUCCUGAGUCCGGAACAAAUUUCGGAUCAAAUCUCAAGUCCGAAUCUAGUCAAAUCCAUCAAAAUAAGGUCUCAAACCACUGACCCAAUAGUAUCUUCUUGGGUCAUCUUAGCCCACCACAAGCUCGCCCAAAAGGUCAUGAUUUGAAGGUACUAUUGGUAGUAACUUAUUUCCUUAUAUGCAGAUAAAUUUUUCCCCUAUCUUUCGAUAUGGGACUGGAGUGUUACAAACUCCCCCACUUAAAUUUCUGAUGUCCCCGUCAGAACCGAUCAGAUGCACAUCCCAAAGAUAUUUGCCUCUCUAGCCAUUGUGGAAUAAUACCGGCUGGCUUCGUGUCCCCACCUCUGGACCUCCAUCUCUCCAUUGCGGGAUAAUACCACCAGCCUUUGUGUCUCCACCUCCGGCAACCCGAUCAGAUGACCUGGCCCGAGCUUUCGAGAGUCGACUCUGAUACCAUAUGAAACAACCCGUGUUAAAUCCCGAGUCAGAAAUAAAUUUCAGGUCCGAAUCAAAUCAAUCAAAAUAAGACCUCAAACCAUUGGCCCAAUAAUAUCUUCUUGGGGUCAUUUUAGUCCACCACAAGCUCACCCAAAAGGUCAUGACUUGAAGGUAUUAUUGGUAGUAACUUAUUUCUUUAUAUGUAGAUAAAUUUUUCCCCUAUCUUUCGAUGUGGGACUGGGGUGUUAGACCCCCUGCAGAUGACAUUUUAUAGGUGAAAGGAACAAUAGCCCACUUCAAAAAUUUCUAAUUUACAAUUCAUAUACUCAAUUGCAACCAAACUUUAACAUGCAAUAGACAUAUUAUUUUUUAAAACAAACAACUUAGCUAACUUGGACAUUUUACACAGGUUUUACAAGACCUCAAAACUGCCUUGUUGUGGCAAUUUUUUUUUAACAGAGCCCAACACCUUCAAUUCUUGCAAUUUUACUUUUAAACUUGUUUUCGCUUACCCAAACAACUUGAAUCACUUCAUAUAAUACAUAUAUAGGCUUCUUUGUUCACAAUAUUAACAAAUUUUCACUUUUAAAGCUUGAUAGCCUCUAAGAGGCAUAACAUCAAACAUGCUUUGUGCAUUAUUUUUAAGAAACAGAAUUCACAAGUGUUGGAGCAUGGAUUAGCCCAAAUUUCUCCAUCCUUAUAACUCCAUAAAGCAUAUAUCUCCAUCUUCAUAAAAUACUACAGCCAAACAUAUCAGUUAUAUUAAUAUUUACUAUUUACAUAUGUAUUUACUCAAUUUCGUAUAAAUAUAUAGAAAUACAUGAAUUACCUCCAUGAUUACUAUUCUUAUUUAAAUUCUUAUUAUCAGUUUGAUGUGUACUGAAUUCAAUCUUCUUUUGCCGAGAAUGAGCUUUAAUCUCUUCCCAAUUUAGCUUGGAUCUUCGAGCUAGAUUUUCCCCCACCCGUGACCCGACCAAGAGAAUUUGACGAAGGGUUGAAAGUAUAAAAGCUUAAUAAUAGAUAGAGAAGGAAUUUUUGGAACGGAUGGGCUGAUAUUGGAGAACUUAAAAUGACUUGAUUUAGUGGGUGGGUGUUUAGUAUAUUCAUAUUGUGCCACCUCCUUUAAAUAACUCAGCAACAAUAGUGGAGGUUAAAUUAGCAUGAUCAUGCCUUAUCCUGUAAUACAUAUAAAUAUUAAAUAUUACAUACACACUAAACCUUUCUAUUACACAUAUAUGCACGGUUCAAGAGCAUUACUCUUAAAGGGCAUUACUUUGUUAAAUAACAUACCUAUUUAAAUGCCAUUACUUUUAAUUUCUCUCUCACUCACUUGCCCAAGCUCUGAGACUUGCAACUCCAAAAAUUCCUCUCAAAUUCAAUACAAUCACUCCUUGCCCAAUUCCACCGCUCUGAAAUUCUCUCCUCCAAACUCAUCAUCCCCUUCACCGUACGGCCUCAUUUCUCGUAUCCCACCUCCGAUCUGAAACUCCUCCUCCAAACUCUCCAUCGACCCAUCUUCCCCGUUAGCAAACACGGCCAGAUCUUGAAAUAUCUCGGUAGACCCUUAACUAAAUUUUAAUUUCAUUAAGAAUUAACUAGAAUUCAAUUUCAUUUUGUGAUUCAAUUUGGGAAUUUUCGCAUUUGGGAAUUAAUCCUAAUUUAGUUUAUUUAUUUAUUUAAUUUUUUGUUUUUGUGGUGGACUGUGAACUACAUUACUACGAUGCUUGUUUAUGGGUUGAUUUUUUGGUUUAUCUAGUCGUUUGGUCACCUUUUUUUUAGAAUUAGAAUUUCUGGAGUAAUUGUGAAACAAUUCUCAGAAUGAAUUAGAAUGAUUAAAGUUGUUGUUUUAUGUCCUAAUAAUGCAUACUGUGUGUGAGAUGGUCAAUAAUUUUGCUAGUUACAGUGUCUGUAUUAAUUAUGUUUAUGUUCUUGUAUUUAUUAAAUUAUUCUUUUUCAUAGAACAGAGUUGUAACUUGUAAUUUCCUCAUACGGCUCAAUAGGUUGAAGAGUCAGUCUCCGUGGAGCCCACUACAGAUCGAUUCAAUGGGUGAACUCAGAUUCGAGUUAGGCCAGUACAACCCAUGCAAAUUCAUAUGGGAAAUUGUAGCCGCCAUUGUUUACCCCAAAAAGCUUUCCAAAAGCUUUCCAUUGUUGUUCUUCUUCUUCUCUGUGAUUUUACUAAAUUCCAUGAGUAAGUUGUCUUCAGAAAGAAAUUUAGGAGGAAGCCAAAACUCUCCGUCAUCCAAAUCCUCUGCCAUCUGAAGAAAUCACGGGAAGUAAAUAUAAACACAAAGAAUUAAAAAUAAAAUAUGAUAUACAGUUAAAAGUAAAAGCUUUGAUUACCAUGUGUGAUGGGGUAAUUGCUGCUUCUUUAAGGUUGAAUUAUAAUUAUUAUUAACCCCUACUACCUUUGCUUUAAUCAGGCCUAGGAAGAAGAUAGUGAUGAGGAGGAAGAGAAGAAGAACACAGUGGUGCAGAGAGUUGGUUUAAAGAUUUUAGAGUGAUGAGAGAGCAAAAUCGAGGGAGGCAGAGAGUGUAUAUAUAAAGUGUUUUCCUUAAAAGAGAAGGGAGGGAACCCUAGGUUGAUGAAUUUUUUAUGUCACGCUCCAUAAUUGAAUGUGAGAAAGGCGCCAUUUUUGCACUAUUUUUAUAAUUAUUUUGUGGAUGCACUAAUCUUGUAAUUACUUUUUAAUUAUUGUAUAGUAGUGUAAAGAACUCAUUUCAAAGUCA
Molecule: long non-coding RNA, 14429 nt
Filed under: Panax ginseng (ginseng)
Lineage: Eukaryota; Viridiplantae; Streptophyta; Magnoliopsida; Apiales; Araliaceae
Description: long non-coding RNA (PGIN_LNC017933)
Source: RNAcentral